This 451-nucleotide long non-coding RNA is filed under the name Malus domestica (apple). Its description in RNAcentral is "long non-coding RNA (MDOM_LNC009372)". The record is from RNAcentral. Lineage: Eukaryota; Viridiplantae; Streptophyta; Magnoliopsida; Rosales; Rosaceae.
GUCUUGAUCAAGAGUGUGUGAAGCUUUCUACGAGUUGUAGUGUUUGCAUUGUUACAGAAGGGAAAUGUUUGAAGAAGAUGCAAGAGAGCUGAAUAGCUUUAUCUUCGUAUGCCAUGCAUUGAAGUUGUUGUUGGCUUGCAAUAAGACUUUGUUGGUGACUAUAACUCUUGUUGGGUAUAAGUGCUCCCUUAGUUGAGUUGUUAAGCUGGAGGGUUUUUGAUUAUUUGUGAAUGCUAGGAGUUCACAUGUACAAGUUGUACCACUCGUCUUCUGGUAGGUGGAAUGAAUGAUGAGUUGCUUUCAUCACUUGGUUGGUGGUACGAAGGUGAGUUCCUUCUUCCCUUGGUUGGUGGCAUGAAUGGCAAGUUGCCAAAUGAUAUUAGAGUACGGGUUGUACAUUUCAUCACCUGGUUGGUGGCAUGAAGGAGAGUACAAGUUGUACAUUUCAUCA